UCUUCCGUAGUAUAGUGGUCAGUAUAUGAGCUUGUCAUUCGAAUCCGAGCAAUCGGAUGGAGUAAUUCGCUCGGGACCCGGGUUCAAUUCCCGGCGGGAGAG
This is a non-coding RNA of Podospora appendiculata, 102 nucleotides long. Lineage: Eukaryota; Fungi; Ascomycota; Sordariomycetes; Sordariales; Podosporaceae. The record is from the annotation of a GenBank genome assembly.